RNAcentral lists this ribosomal RNA (253 nucleotides) under uncultured bacterium. RNAcentral describes it as "partial 16S ribosomal RNA". It matches the Rfam family "Bacterial small subunit ribosomal RNA", at positions 524 to 776 of the family's 1533-position model. The record is from RNAcentral.
UACGUAGGUGGCGAGCGUUGUCCGGAUUUACUGGGCGUAAAGAGCGCGCAGGCGGUCGUGCAAGUCGCGUGUGAAAGCCCCCGGCUCAACUGGGGAGGGUCACGCGAUACUGCUCGACUUGAAGGCAGGAGAGGGAAGUGGAAUUCCCGGUGUAGUGGUGAAAUGCGUAGAUAUUCGGAGGAACACCAGUGGCGAAGGCGGCUCACUGGUCCGGUACUGACGCUGAGGUGCGAAAGCGUGGGGAGCAAACAGG